Molecule: long non-coding RNA, 1980 nt
Organism: Mytilus californianus (California mussel)
Lineage: Eukaryota; Metazoa; Mollusca; Bivalvia; Mytilida; Mytilidae
Exons: 5
Source: RefSeq, a predicted model, not a curated record
GCUGUCCAUUGAAUGAAGUAAGUUAUGUGUUAAUGUUGUAUUCACAUUGUUGUGAUGAUUUUAUUGUUGCUUUGAAGUUUGUGGAGCACAAAUACCCCAGUACUUUUGGAUAAAAAUGAUAAUGAAAAAAUAUUCCCGUUUAAACUUUCAGUUUUUAAUAAAGAUAUUCCAGUGUUCAAAUUAACCAUUAAAGUGGUCUUUCUUAAAGUUGUCAAACAAGAACCAAAGUGUACCUUUUAAACUUUAAAAUAUCAAUUGAACAUUUAAUUAGAAACCUUUGGUUUAAACAUUUAUGCGUGUUUCUGAAUUCCUUUCAUUAAAAUUGAGUAAAUAAAAUCUCACUCUAUUUAAACAAUUUUGUGUUGUAAAAAAACCACAAAAACAUACAAUUAAGUACUUGACCUAUAGUAUAGAAACUUGUUUUUGUUGGAGACUAUAUUGACCUCUGGGGUCCAGGUUUUUUGUGUUGUUUAGUUGCUGUCUCAAUAACAUAAUCCCUAAAAUCAUUUUCAAUUAAUCAUAGACAAAGGACAAAUUAUAAAAAACCCAGAAUAACCAAAUCCUUCAUAUUAACUUAUAAUAACUGUUAAAUUUUCCUUCAAAUUAAAUAUAUGUUUCACACAUCUCCUUCGUUUAGAUAAAUUUUAAAGUGAAACAGAAAAUGGAAGCCAAAUAUUUAAAAUUUAGAUUAAUUGAAAUAGCCUCCCUUCUUAAAAAAAAAUAUAGAACAAAUUUUAACAGAAAAAAGGGGGACGGAAACCUAAAGAUACAGAAUUAAAAUAAAGGGAUAAAAAGAUCCUCCGUCCUUUUCUAAACUUCUUUUUAAAGUUUUAAAUUUGGUAAAUUAGAUGUUCCCUGAAUUUAGAGUAUCCAUGGGAACAUGUCCUAUUUUUACCAGAAAUCAAUAUACCCAUAGGAACAUUACGGUACAUGUUCCUCUCCAAAGUAAUAAAGGUAUCCAUUGGAACAUCACAUGUUCCUCUCCAAAGUAAUGAAGGUAUCCAUAGGAACAUCACAUGUUCCUCUCCAAAGUAAUGAAGGUAUCCAUAGGAACAUCACAUGUUCCGCUCAAAAGUAAUGAAGGUAUCCAUAGGAACAUCACAUGUUCCGCUCAAAAGUAAUGAAGGUAUCCAUAGGAACAUCACAUGUUCCUCUCCAAAGUAAUGAAGGUAUCCAUAGGAACAUCACAUGUUCCUCUCCAAAGUAAUGAAGGUAUCCAUUGGAACAUCACAUGUUCCUCUCCAAAGUAAUGAAGGUAUCCAUAGGAACAUCACAUGUUCCUCUCCAAAGUAAUGAAGGUAUCCAUAGGAACAUCACAUGUUCCUCUCCAAAGUAAUAAAGGUAUCCAUAGGAACAUCACAUGUUCCUCUCCAAAGUAAUGAAGGUAUCCAUAGGAACAUCACAUGUUCCUCUCCAAAGAAAUAAAGGUAUCCAUAGGAACAUCACAUGUUCCUCUCCAAAGUAAUGAAGGUAUCCACAGUAACAUCCCAUGUGUCUUACCAAUGUAAAUAAGGUAUCCAUAGGAACAUGGGAGCCUCGGUGGCCAAGUGGUCUAAGUAGUUAUAACUGUAAUCACUAGCCAGUCAACACUGAGGUUGUGAAUUCAAACCCCGCUCGUGCGGGUGCACAUGACUCCAAUCUUUAUUGACUUAGGGUUGUCAGUUUUCCUAUUGAAGGUCAGUGGUUUUCUCCAGGCACUCUGGCUUCCUCCACCAAUACAAACUGGCCGCCAUGAAAUAGCCAAAGUAGUGCUUAAAAGUGGCGUUAAAACACCAAAAAAUCAAAUUCAAAUCCAUAGGUGCACUGCAUGCUCCAAAUUUACUGGUAUCUGAUAUCCAUUGGAAUCCAAAUUUAGUUGUUCAGUUUGUAUUGAUGACAGAAUUGGCUUUACAAUGAACUUUGAACUCAAAGAAAUGGAUACACAUGUUUCAGAAAAAUAAGUUUGGUACCUAUAUCUCUUUUCACACUUUUGUUGUUUUU